GACACACUUGCGACACAAACCACGGCGUAAUCGAAAAAUGAAUGAUCUCCCGCGAUACAGGAAUCAACAUUCCCAGUGCGGGGAUCAAUAGACACGUAUGUGUGUAUACACAUAUUUGUGCGUUAAAUUUGUAAAAAUAAUAAAGUUUUCUGUAUUAUGUAUUUGUUUUGUGAAUAGAAUUCUUUCUUUCUUUCUUUCUUUCUUUCUUUCUUUCUUUCUUGCAUUCUUUCUGUAUGUCUGUAUGUUUGUUCCGGGUCAUCUCCGGAACGGAUGGUGAGCAUAUCGAAUGUAAUUUUUGUUUUUCGUAUGCAAAAUCGAAAGAAGUUUUAUUAGACUUACUCAGCCUUACGAAGCGUCGGACAGCCGACUUGUCUCCAUUUAAACUAUCGAAGGAUUUAUUCAGAGGGCAAAGUUAACAUAUUGAUUGAUCGCUUGGUUGCUUGCUUGUUUUAGUCUCAGUCUGUUUAGUCUGUCAGUUCGGUCGUGCAGCAAAAUCAAUAUACCAGUCUGCUCUGGGACUGAUAUUAAGGGGGGAGGGGAGAAUCUCGUCGUCGUCGUCGUCAUCUCUAUCGCAAAUUAUCGCGCGGCAACUCGCCGCGGUGACCGCCAGAUCGGUUUUCACAUAACUUCAUGUGUACGCGUAUCCGUGAGUGGUGUGCGCGCGUCUCGGUGUCCACGCCGUGGUGCGCGACGACCGGCUACCCGAUGACACGUACACGCGCGCGCCGCGGCGCGUCGCUUCACGAGAAAGGUAGGAUGAUGUGUAGUAGUUGUGAGUGGUGUGUGUGUGUGUGUGUGUAGUAAUAAGCAAUGUGUAAUGUGUGUAAUAUAUAUAUAUAUAUAUAUGUAUACAUAUAUUACUUUGCGCGCGCAUAUUCAUCCACACAUUAUUAUUAUUAUUGAGUUGUGUUGGACGUCGAGAUCUCAUGUGUGUGUAUCACAGUCACAGUGUGGUGUGGUGUUCGCGCGGAGCUCGAGUAUCGUUCAUUAAAAUGUUUCGCGUUCUCGUGAAACGUUCUCGCGCGCGCCCUUUAGCGCCUGAGUUACUAUAUCACGAAUGUUGUUUAUAUGAUGUUACAUGUGGUCUGUAAAAUGAUUCACGAAUCACCGGGCGUCUCCGCUGUGCGUUUGACGGACUCGAACAGAUGAUAAAUAAUAGAAAAGGGUGGUCCCGGGCGCCGAGCGCGCGGUUCCCCGUUUUUGAGUGAUGUUUUCUUCUCUCUCGGUCCUCUCGAACGUUUAUUGAAACGAUCAUUUCGUUUUGAACAUUCUCGCUGUCGCGUUUCGUUCAUGCAGUGAGAUUUAUCGUCUUUAGCGCCGAUUGGGAAUGAGAUUUUUUACGACAUGAUAAAAUGUUGUUUUUUUUGUCCCUUAUCGUUUCGAUAUAUGAAAGCGUACGCGAUAAAAUAGGGUUAAGCUAGGAAGGCUUAUUUAUAAUAAUCCUUAGC
This 1448-nucleotide unclassified non-coding RNA is filed under the name Samia ricini (Indian eri silkmoth). RNAcentral's name for it is "5' external transcribed spacer". Lineage: Eukaryota; Metazoa; Arthropoda; Insecta; Lepidoptera; Saturniidae. The record is from RNAcentral.